AUAAGCCACCCCAGGGAUCAUCUCAAGAGUCUUGAAGAAACUCCAAGAAGACGAGGCAUCAAUACUGAUGAUAUUCCCACUGUGGCCGACCCAGUUUUGGUUCCCCAAAGCUCUCCAGCUAAUGGCAGCAGUUCCCGUUCUUCUCCCCAAAAAUUCCCUAGUUCUUCCACAACAUCCUACUCAACGCCAUCCACAGGCUCAGAGACUCAAAACAGACCAGCACCACCACCACCAGCACCACCACCACCACUACCUAACGCUGUGUCCAGGCUGGAAUGUGUGACCUCUCUGCCAGGAAUGUCACCGUCCUCUCACACUCUGACACCAAGUACCUCACAACACCUGCAAUACUACACCUCUGAGUCCCCCCGGAGCCUGGCGGCCCUGCUCGGUCCCUUCCACGACUCGCAGCGAGAGAGAGAGGUCGAGGUGCGGUGGUCUCGUGGCGGAAGGCUGAAGGAGGCGGUGAAGGAGUGAAGGUGUGAAGUGUGCAGCUUCCACUUCAUCAUCCCAUGAACAGCCCACAGGAAUCUCUACCAGCACCUGGUUAUUAAACAGUGUUGUCACGCCAGGCCCAAUGUACUCCAUUGCAAUCAGGGAGUCAAGCUUCACCAGGAAAAGAGGCAGAGCGUCACCACCUUCAAGCCCCACCAGAGGUAUUAAGUAUCGUUGGGACAAAGCAAUCAGGGAAGAGUCAAGUUGCAGUAAGAAGAGUGUGUCAAGAAUUUCAAGCAGGAAGAACACGUAAAAUUCCCUUCAAGUCAUGGCGGGACCGACAGGCAACCUUCAACACUUGUGGAGGCACGAGAGCUGCAGGCAGUUUCACAAAGAAGAGGUUGCUCCUCACUCAAGUUGACGCAAGGACAUAAGAAUUGGCAAGUGUUGUUGCUCCCAGGCCCUGCUGCAAGAGUUCUCCAGUCCACUCCAGUCUGGGAAGGAAGAAUGUAGCAAGUCCCUCUCUUCUGUACUCAACAACCACCACCACCACCUUCAUUCAGGCUUGGGAUAAGUUUUGUACAUUCCAGCACUUCAGUAAUAAGGAAAAAAAGUGCCAUGUUUAUAUUAUUGUUGUGUAUUUAUUCACUUAACAUUCACAUUAAAACAAUAAACAUUCAGUAUACCAUCUUGAACAUAAUGAUAGUUAUUUAUGCCAUGUCAAUAAUAUCUUUGGCAAAUAGUCUUUCUGGGAGUACAGGUCAUGCCCUCAAGGUAAAAAAAACAAUGAUAGUUAUUUAUGCCAUGUCAAUAAUAUCUUUGGCAAAGUCUUUCUGGGAGUACAGGUCAUGCCCCCAAGGUAAAAAAAAAAAAAAAGUCAGGAUUGGCUACU
Scylla paramamosain (green mud crab) is the source of this 1327-nucleotide long non-coding RNA. RefSeq lists it as uncharacterized. The transcript is spliced from 6 exons. The record is from RefSeq and is a predicted model, not a curated record. Lineage: Eukaryota; Metazoa; Arthropoda; Malacostraca; Decapoda; Portunidae.